Molecule: long non-coding RNA, 3837 nt
Filed under: Pan troglodytes (chimpanzee)
Lineage: Eukaryota; Metazoa; Chordata; Mammalia; Primates; Hominidae
Description: long non-coding RNA NONPTRT009207
Source: RNAcentral
CCGGGAGACCCGCGGGUCUGGCUGCGAGAGACCAUGGGGGCUCAGCUAAGCGGCGGCCGCGGCGCCCCGGAGCCUGCGCAAACCCAGCCCCAGCCCCAGCCCCAGCCCCAGCCCCAGCCUGCGGCGCCGGAGGGCCCGGAACAGCCCCGGCGUCCGCCCCAGCCCCAGCCCCAGCCCCAGCCCCAGCCCCAGCCCCAGCCCCAGCCCGAGCCCAGCCCGUGGGGGCCGCUGGACGACGUGCGCUUCCUCAUCGCCUGCACUUCCUGGUACUGACGGCGUCCUCCGGAGGAUGUCGCCCGUCUGUCCGCCGUCCCCUGUGGUUCUUGCCUGCCUUGUCUCCUCUCCCCACGUCCCUGCGUCUCUUACACCCCCUCCCACCCGAGGCUCCCCAGAGAUAGCAGAGAAUUCGAAGAGGUCGCCGGGGACUGGAAAGAAGUCCCGGCAGGGCCGCCUUCGCAGUCUACACCCCAGCCUGCUUCCCAGCCUACACCCAGACCCAGCUCAGACCUUUGUGACCACCCCAUCCCUUUCUCCGGCUGGCUGGGUCGGGGGCAUCCCUCUCUGUCGCUGGCUUCCAGAGGCAGGGCAGGCCUCCUGGUAAGCCCGCAAAGUUGCUGACCUCCUGACUUCGUCUGCCUUUUAUUAAUAUCUGUAUUGCUGAUAACCGUGCUCUUGACUAUGUGUCCCAGGUCAUGGCACCAGGGGCCUUGACUUUGGAGAAGCCCGUGCCACAGUGACCCUCCCCAUACUCCUGGGGGGGCUGCUCCCCAUCCUGGAUCGUAAGGAGGCAUCAUCAGGCUGUGUUCCUGGAACCCCAAUAACCCUGGGUCCCCAGGGCCAGCCUGUUGUAGAGGGAGGCUAUCUGACCGCCGGUCUGGCAGAGGAGAUGGGUGGGCAGCUCCCAGACACCCCAAAGGACCCGGUUCUCCUCCCAGAGCGUCCUAAGGUUACUCUUGGAACCUGAUCUUUGUUCCCUCAUCCCAGGGAAAUGACACACUCUGUAUUUCUGUUUUAUUUAGAAAUGAUUUAAAAAACAUUAUACAAAGGCUGAUCAGUUUAAAAUGUGACUGACACUGAAAUGCUGUGAUGUCCCCCAGGCUGAGGGGAAGCUAGGCCCUGGGGCCCCCAGUGCUUUGCCCCUCUGUCUGCCCUGUCCUGGGGUGAUGGACAGAUGACCACAGGUAGGAGAAUCUGAGAUUGGAAGCCUCUAGGCUGAGCCCUCUGGGCCUGGCCCCACAUCCCUCACCUCUGCAGCCUGGGCUGCCUGCCUCCAUCUCCUGUUCAUUCUCAGCUGGCCUGCCAGGAGCCAACGGGGAGCCUGGCGGGAGGCGGGGGUGCCUAGAGCUUUCAAGAAGUGAGAGCACCAACCUGAGGAGUGGACAGGGACCAGGAAGUGGGGGAAGGGAGGCCAGGAAGAGGUGGAUACAGGAGACACUUCUCAUCUCAUCUCAGACCCUAGAGGGGUCCACAGAUGGGGACACAAGACCCAGCCAGCCCACUGGAUGGCCCAGGCAAGUAACAACCUCUCUGUGCUUCAUCUGAGGGCACGGUGAGAGUUACCGUCGGCCUCCCAGGGCCUAACACGAGUUUCAUGUGAGUGGACAGGUGUGAGCUAAUAAAGUGCUUUGCAAAGUAUAAAACACUGUACAAACCUAUGAAUCACUAAUAUCUCCGCAGUUGUUCCCUGCCUGUCCCAGGGAGCCUGCCCUUGGCCAAAAUGAGAAAAAACAAGGAUGAUGACAGGGGACACAGCGGACCCACAUGGGCACCUCUGGGACAAGAGAUUUUGCUUGAGACAGCUCCCAGGGCAGCAGGAGUCCCUGUCUGUGCUACAGGGUAAGCCGACCCCAAUCCCAGAGACCACAGGGUCGGGGGCAAGGCCCAUGCAGGCUCAGUGAGCAGGAGUGGCAUCUGAGACCCGGCCAGCACGCUGGAGACUGCCUGACACCUCUUUUUGGCUUUGGCAGAGAGCCAGUGGGCAUUGAUGAACCCAUUGGCCUUGUCUAGGGCUCCUCAGUGACAAGCAGGGCUGCCUCCGCCGUACUGGAGCAAGGCAGGCCAAGCCCUAGGAACUCCUGCUGGAGACAGUGAAGGGCAGGCCAGUGAAGGUCAAAAAGGGAGCCCCCUCAGCUUGGGGCUGCUACCGGUAGGGGUGUCCUUCUAAAAGCAGUGUGGGAAGAUGGGCCCAGUGAGCGAGGUCAGCAAGGGCCAAGCUCUGGGAAAACACUGCUUCCAGCCGAGAGAUUGAGUCGGCCUCAGAGUAGCUGGAGUCGGCCUCAGAGUAGUGGGGGCACUGAGCACUUCAGAUGCCCUGGUCCCCUUCCGAAGGACUCCCAGGCUCUGCCAGUGUUGGCCCUGCAGCCAUCUCUGCCUCACCUAACUGGUGAGGCUGAGCUCCAGGCUGCAAGUGACAGACUGGAGCAAAGCUGGGGACAGUGACAAUAGAGGGGAGUGGAGGACGGUCACAAACUUGGAUCUUCCUCCAGAAAUGGGGUCAGCUUCUGCCCCAGCUCUGUAGCCAUAGGAGCAGAGCUCAGCUACUGGGGUGUCUGGGCGCUAGAGUGGCCUUAGCAGCACCUUGGUCCUUGUCGCCUGGGGGAGGGCCGCUAUGCUGGCCUCAUCACCAAGACAGUCACCUCUAGUUCACCUAAAGCCUCAAGCAGCCUUUGCAAAAUGGGACAGUAGUGACAGGACAUUUAAAUAUUCACGAUGUGACAGCUGGGUCCUUGUCAGACCCAGCUGGGCCACAGCCCUGCCUGCAGCAUGUGACCCUAAAUCCUGGGUCUCCGAAGAGACCCUGACAAGUGGAGCAGGUUUCCUGAGGGAUCUGCCGUCUGCCAGCAGGGAAACCCAGGCUUGUUGCCCACUGUGUCAGAAGCAGGGGUCCUGUAGCCUUGGAGGACAGUGGGGUGGGGGUAGGGGGACAUCUGACCAGCAGGUGUUGGCAAAAGGGGACCAGGACUGGUGGUAUCUCCCGGAUGGGGGAUGAGAGCUAGUGCUGGCUUCCCACAGAGGGUGCUGGGUUCCAGCCAGGAGUGGAGCUGUGGUACCUCAUGGACACCACAGGAUGCCGUGACCACAGGGGCUCCUCCUGGCAUGGUCCCUGCCUCCGGAUGGAGCCUGGCCUAUUCCCUUAAGUAGGGAGUAGUUUGCCCAGGACAGAAGGCUGGCAGCUGGGUGCCAGACACCCACCCUGGGGCACAGCCCCCAUAAUUCCCUGCCCCACGCUCAGCCUAGGCCAAUGCACCCACCACUUCAGCUGUACGACCCCAGCCUAGGGCCCUGCUGGCCCUGGUGAGCACUGGCCAGAGCUGCCCCUCAGACCCUGGUGAGGAAGGGCCUGGCUGGCCAGACUAAGUGGAUAGAGAGGGCUCUGGGCUGCUCACACCCAUUCCUGGACUGGCCGCUUAUAGUAGGUGACAGGCUGAGGGCCUGUCUUGUUCUUGAACUGGAAGAUGGUGUAGACCAGCACCAGGAUGCAGAGGGACAGGAUGCAGGGGAUGACCACGGCCACGGCGUUCACGGAGCCCGGCACAUCGUUGAUGGUCACCAUGAUGUCCACGUCGUCCUGGGGCAGCCGCCGCUCCUUCCGCCGCUCCACCUCCUUCUGGUUGCAGCCCAUCCAGUCACGCAGGAUGUUGCGCGGGUAGCCUGGCUCCACGCUCAGUUUCUGGUUGUCAAACUUCCAGUAGUCCCGGCCCUUGUAGAAGUAGGUGUAAUCUGCAGAAAUACAGCCCAGCAUCACCACUCCCAGACACUUCCGGCACCUGCUCUGGGGCAGUGUGAAAAGGAGGGCACAGGCACUGUGGCAAGGGAGGCAAGGUGGGCACACCUGGA